RNAcentral lists this ribosomal RNA (301 nucleotides) under uncultured bacterium. Its description in RNAcentral is "partial 16S ribosomal RNA". It matches the Rfam family "Bacterial small subunit ribosomal RNA", at positions 509 to 808 of the family's 1533-position model. The record is from RNAcentral.
CAGCCGCCGCGGGAACACGAAGGGGGCUAGCGUUGCUCGGAAUGACUGGGCGUAAAGGGCGCGUAGGCGGUUUGUACAGUUGGAUGUGAAAUUCCUGGGCUUAACCUGGGGGCUGCAUUCAAUACGUGCAGGCUUGAGUGGGGAAGAGGGUCGUGGAAUUCCCAGUGUAGAGGUGAAAUUCGUAGAUAUUGGGAAGAACACCGGUGGCGAAGGCGGCGACCUGGUCCUUGACUGACGCUGAGGCGCGAAAGCGUGGGGAGCAAACAGGAUUAGAUACCCGCGUAGUCCUGUCUCUUAUACC